GUGAUUGGUAGAGGAGCGAAAACCAUUAGUACAUGUUCUGAGGGUAAUGAGAACCGUUGAAGUUCAUGAAAAGGGGAAUUCGCCGAAGUGGAAGAAAGACUCAUCUUUCUUAUGCUGGACCUAUGUUGAAUAAGCAUAGGGCUGUCACAUGCUCAACCCAAGGAGUAUGUGGAGAACUAUCUCACGU
RNAcentral lists this non-coding RNA (187 nucleotides) under Halalkalibacter krulwichiae. RNAcentral's name for it is "Bacillus krulwichiae Lysine sequence". It matches the Rfam family "Lysine riboswitch aptamer". From Rfam's summary of the family: Riboswitches are metabolite binding domains within certain messenger RNAs that serve as precision sensors for their corresponding targets. Allosteric rearrangement of mRNA structure is mediated by ligand binding, and this results in modulation of gene expression. Lineage: Bacteria; Bacillati; Bacillota; Bacilli; Caryophanales; Bacillaceae. The record is from Rfam by way of RNAcentral.